Long non-coding RNA from Capsicum annuum, 811 nucleotides. RefSeq lists it as uncharacterized. Lineage: Eukaryota; Viridiplantae; Streptophyta; Magnoliopsida; Solanales; Solanaceae. The transcript has 3 exons. The record is from RefSeq and is a predicted model, not a curated record.
AGAAGGGAACUUUAGUUGGAAACAGGCGUACAGUAGUACUAGUUUUAUAUUUGAAGAAAAAAAGAAAAGAAAGAAAAAGGAAGUAAGAUGUAAUUUGAAAUUCACUGGGGCUUUGGUCAAAUAUAAAGGGAAAGUUAAAAGGGAAAAGUACUAGUUACUAUGAUUCUCUGUUUUCCUUCUUUAUUUUCAAUCAACUAAGCAACCAACAGAAAGAUUUAAGAAAAAGUUAGAGGCGAUAGUUGAGUACUAAUACUCAAAUUCUUCUUCUUCUCUCGGCAUCAAAGAACUUCGCUAGAAGGGGAAGGGAGGAAGGGAUCCUUGUGAUAGCUUUUGAAAUAAUUUUGAGAGGUGACUUCACUAACCUAAAGUUGGAGUUGGAUUUCAAGAAUUAGUAGAUUGGCUAUCAGAGAUCUUGAAUGGGUGGUUGGAAGGAUAAAGGUAACACUUUCACGGGUUGAAUUGUUUGAGGCUCGGAAUACUAUCAUAGAGCACUAAAGGCUCAGAUACUCAGGAUAGCAGAUGUCCACGUUAAGCCUUGUUACCGUUUUCAGCUAAUAUUUUGGUGAGCUCCAUCUCUCCCUGGAGCCGUUCUAUGCCUAGUAUUAUUUUUUAUUGCAUGUACAGGUCCCUAGUUGGGCAUGACGGGCCCUAUGCCAACUAAUCACUUAUAGUAUAGUGUGUUAGACUGACUAGAGGCUUUAUGGACAUCAUGUAGUAUUGUAAUGUACAAUUUUGUUAAUACAACUCUCUCGUAUAUGUAUAUGACUUAUACUGAAUAUCUCAUUCAUUAUUAUCUCAUAACCUUGUGUUC